AGCGAACGCUGGCGGCAGGCUUAACACAUGCAAGUCGAACGGGCAUCUUCGGAUGUCAGUGGCAGACGGGUGCGUAACACGUGGGAACGUACCCUUCGGUUCGGAAUAACUCAGGGAAACUUGAGCUAAUACCGGAUACGCCCUUUUGGGGAAAGGUUUACUGCCGAAGGAUCGGCCCGCGUCUGAUUAGCUUGUUGGUGGGGUAACGGCCUACCAAGGCGACGAUCAGUAGCUGGUCUGAGAGGAUGCUCAGCCACACUGGGACUGAGACACGGCCCAGACUCCUACGGGAGGCAGCAGUGGGGAAUAUUGGACAAUGGGCGCAAGCCUGAUCCAGCCAUGCCGCGUGAGUGAUGAAGGCCUUAGGGUUGUAAAGCUCUUUUGUCCGGGACGAUAAUGACGGUACCGGAAGAAUAAGCCCCGGCUAACUUCGUG
Molecule: ribosomal RNA, 435 nt
Filed under: uncultured bacterium
Lineage: Bacteria
Description: partial 16S ribosomal RNA
Rfam family: Bacterial small subunit ribosomal RNA
Source: RNAcentral